AGUAACGCGUGGGUAACCUGCCUCAUACAGGGGGAUAACAGUUAGAAAUGACUGCUAAUACCGCAUAAGCGCACAGUGCUGCAUGGCACAGUGUGAAAAACUCCGGUGGUAUGAGAUGGACCCGCGUCUGAUUAGCUAGUUGGUGGGGUAACGGCCUACCAAGGCGACGAUCAGUAGCCGGCCUGAGAGGGUGAACGGCCACACUGGGACUGAGACACGGCCCAGACUCCUACGGGAGGCAGCAUG
This 246-nucleotide ribosomal RNA is filed under the name uncultured bacterium. RNAcentral describes it as "partial 16S ribosomal RNA". It matches the Rfam family "Bacterial small subunit ribosomal RNA", at positions 109 to 353 of the family's 1533-position model. The record is from RNAcentral.